Molecule: ribosomal RNA, 451 nt
Filed under: uncultured bacterium
Lineage: Bacteria
Description: bacterial SSU rRNA
Rfam family: Bacterial small subunit ribosomal RNA
Source: RNAcentral
GUCGAGGAUCUUCCGCAAUGGGGGAAACCCUGACGGAGCGACGCCGCGUGCGCGAUGAAGGCCUUCGGGUUGUAAAGCGCUGUCGCAUGGGAUGAAUUGCACAGGCUCCAACAUAGCCUGUGUUUGACAGUACCAUGAAAGGAAGCCACGGCUAACUACGUGCCAGCAGCCGCGGUAAUACGUAGGUGGCAAGCGUUGUUCGGAUUCACUGGGCGUAAAGGGCGAGUAGGUGGCUUGAUAAGUCAGGUGUGAAAGACCUUGGCUCAACCAAGGAAUGGCACUUGAAACUGUCUUGCUUGAGUGCAGGAGAGGAGAGCGGAAUUCUCGGUGUAGCGGUGAAAUGCGUAGAUAUCGAGAAGAACACCGGUGGCGAAGGCGGCUCUCUGGACUGCUACUGACACUGAGGCGCGAAAGCGUGGGGAGCGAACGGGAUUAGAAACCCCAGUAGUCC